Molecule: ribosomal RNA, 253 nt
Filed under: uncultured bacterium
Lineage: Bacteria
Description: partial 16S ribosomal RNA
Rfam family: Bacterial small subunit ribosomal RNA
Source: RNAcentral
UACAGAGGGGGCAAGCGUUGUUCGGAUUCACUGGGCGUAAAGGGUGCGUAGGUGGUGAGGUAAGUCGGAUGUGAAAGCUCGGAGCUCAACUCCGAAAUGGCAUUGGAAACUACCUUGCUCGAGGGUUGGAGGGGGGACUGGAAUGCUUGGUGUAGCAGUGAAAUGCGUAGAUAUCAAGCGGAACACCAGUGGCGAAGGCGAGUCCCUGGACAGAUCCUGACGCUGAGGCACGAAAGCUAGGGGAGCAAACAGG